RNAcentral lists this ribosomal RNA (427 nucleotides) under uncultured bacterium. Its description in RNAcentral is "bacterial SSU rRNA". It matches the Rfam family "Bacterial small subunit ribosomal RNA", at positions 355 to 774 of the family's 1533-position model. The record is from RNAcentral.
UGGGGAAUUUUGGACAAUGGGCGCAAGCCUGAUCCAGCAAUGCCGCGUGCAGGAUGAAGGCCUUCGGGUUGUAAACUGCUUUUGUACGGAACGAAACUGCCCUUUCCAAUACAAGGGGUUAAUGACGGUACCGUAAGAAUAAGCACCGGCUAACUACGUGCCAGCAGCCGCGGUAAUACGUAGGGUGCGAGCGUUAAUCGGAAUUACUGGGCGUAAAGCGUGCGCAGGCGGUCUUGUAAGACAGAUGUGAAAUCCCCGGGCUCAACCUGGGACCUGCAUUUGUGACUGCAAGGCUGGAGUACGGCAGAGGGGGAUGGAAUUCCGCGUGUAGCAGUGAAAUGCGUAGAUAUGCGGAGGAACACCGAUGGCGAAGGCAAUCCCCUGGGCCUGCACUGACGCUCAUGCACGAAAGCGUGGGGAGCAAACA